Molecule: ribosomal RNA, 476 nt
Filed under: uncultured anaerobic ammonium-oxidizing bacterium
Lineage: Bacteria
Description: bacterial SSU rRNA
Rfam family: Bacterial small subunit ribosomal RNA
Source: RNAcentral
UUCGCAAUGCCCGAAAGGGUGACGAAGCGACGCCGCGUGUGGGAAGAAGGCCUUCGGGUUGUAAACCACUGUCGGGAGUUAAGAAAUGCAAGGAUAUUAAUAGUGUCUUUGUUUGACUAAGGCUCCGGAGGAAGCCACGGCUAACUCUGUGCCAGCAGCCGCGGUAAUACAGAGGCGGCAAGCGUUGUUCGGAAUUAUUGGGCGUAAAGAGCACGUAGGCGGCUAUGUAAGUCGGUUGUGAAAGCCUUCCGCUCAACGGAAGAACAGCAUCCGAUACUACAUGGCUUGAGUGCGGGAGGGGAGAGUGGAACUUCUGGUGGAGCGGUGAAAUGCGUAGAUAUCAGAAGGAACGCCGGCGGCGAAAGCGGCUCUCUGGCCCAUAACUGACGCUGAGUGUGCGAAAGCUAGGGGAGCAAACGGGAUUAGAUACCCCGGUAGUCCUAGCCGUAAACGAUGGGCACUAAGUAGAGGGGUUU